Molecule: ribosomal RNA, 498 nt
Filed under: uncultured bacterium
Lineage: Bacteria
Description: bacterial SSU rRNA
Rfam family: Bacterial small subunit ribosomal RNA
Source: RNAcentral
AGAGUUUGAUCCUGGCUUAGGAUGAACGCUGGCGGCGUGCUUAACACAUGCAAGUCGAACGGAGUUAUUGAAAGCUUGCUUUAAAUAACUUAGUGGCGGACGGGUGAGUAACGCGUGGGUAACCUGCCUUAUACCGGGGGACAACAGUUGGAAACGACUGCUAAUACCGCAUAAGCGCACAAGAAGGCAUCUUCUAGUGUGAAAAACUCCGGUGGUAUAAGAUGGACCCGCGUCUGAUUAGCCAGUUGGCGGUGUAACGGACCACCAAAGCGACGAUCAGUAGCCGGCCUGAGAGGGCAAACGGCCACAUUGGGACUGAGACACGGCCCAAACUCCUACGGGAGGCAGCAGUGGGGAAUAUUGCACAAUGGAGGAAACUCUGAUGCAAGCGACGCCGCGUGAGUGAAGAAGUAUCUCGGUAUGUAAAGCUCUAUCAGCAGGAAAGAAAAUGACGGUACCUGACUAAGAAGCCCCGGCUAACUACGUGCCAGCAGCGGC